GUGCUCGUUUCGGCAGCACAUAUACUAAAA
Molecule: small nuclear RNA, 30 nt
Filed under: Cervus elaphus hippelaphus
Lineage: Eukaryota; Metazoa; Chordata; Mammalia; Artiodactyla; Cervidae
Source: RNAcentral